UACGAAGGGUGCAAGCGUUACUCGGAAUUACUGGGCGUAAAGCGUGCGUAGGUGGUUUGUUAAGUCCGAUGUGAAAGCCCUGGGCUCAACCUGGGAAUGGCAUUGGAUACUGGCAGGCUAGAGUGCGGUAGAGGGUAGUGGAAUUCCCGGUGUAGCAGUGAAAUGCGUAGAGAUCGGGAGGAACAUCUAUGGCGAAGGCAGCCAUCUGGACCAGUACUGACGCUGAGGCACGAAAGCGUGGGGAGCAAACAGG
RNAcentral lists this ribosomal RNA (253 nucleotides) under uncultured bacterium. RNAcentral's name for it is "partial 16S ribosomal RNA". It matches the Rfam family "Bacterial small subunit ribosomal RNA", at positions 524 to 776 of the family's 1533-position model. The record is from RNAcentral.